CCUGACGACAUUAGCGAGUGUGAACCACCUGAUCCCAUCUCGAACUCAGAAGUGAAAGUGCUUAGCGCCGAUGGUAGUGUGGGGUUUCCCCAUGUGAGAGUAGGUCAUUGUCAGGC
RNAcentral lists this ribosomal RNA (116 nucleotides) under OM182 bacterium BACL3 MAG-120619-bin3. RNAcentral also lists the same sequence under 4 other names. Lineage: Bacteria; Pseudomonadati; Pseudomonadota; Gammaproteobacteria. The record is from RNAcentral.